Molecule: unclassified non-coding RNA, 428 nt
Filed under: soil metagenome
Description: partial contains 5.8S ribosomal RNA, internal transcribed spacer 2, and large subunit ribosomal RNA
Rfam family: 5.8S ribosomal RNA (bases 1-120)
Source: RNAcentral
GAUGAAGAACGUAGCGAAACGCGAUACGUAAUGUGAAUUGCAGAAUUCAGUGAAUCAUCGAAUCUUUGAACGCACCUUGCGCCCCUCGGCAUUCCGAGGGGCAUGCCUGUUUGAGUGUCACGGAUCCUUCGAACCCCGCCGGUCUCCGACGAGCCGGCCGCCUGGGUUCGGUCCUGGGCGCUACGCCACCCCUCCGGGGCUGGCCCGCCUCCAAAGCAUCAGCGGGGCCUCGCGGCGUGGGCGGGCUCCGAUCGGCGUGAUAAGUCAUCUGCCGAGAGGGUGCCCGUCCGUCCCGCGGAUCGCGGUCCGCUCCCAACCCCUCCCCGCGCGCCGUCCCCCCCCGGGGAGCGCGCGGGGACGUUUCGACGCUCUGGCCUCAAAUCAGGUAGGACCACCCGCUGAACUUAAGCAUAUCAAUAAGCGGAGGA